UGUAAGCGUAUACCAAAGUUGUUGCAGUUAAAAAGCUCGUAGUUGAACCUUGGGCUUGGCUGGCCGGUCCAUCUUUUUUGAUGCGUACUGGACCCAGCCGAGCCUUUCCUUCUGGCUAGCCUUUUGGCGAACCAGGACUUUUACUUUGAAAAAAUUAGAGUGUUCAAAGCAGGCCUUUGCUCGAAUAUAUUAGCAUGGAAUAAUAGAAUAGGACGUUAUGGUUCUAUUUUGUUGGUUUCUAGGACCAUCGUAAUGAUUAAUAGGGACGGUCGGGGGUAUCAGUAUUCAGUUGUCAGAGGUGAAAUUCUUGGAUUUACUGAAGACUAACUACUGCGAAAGCAUUUACCAAGGACGUUUUCAUUAA
Molecule: ribosomal RNA, 364 nt
Filed under: uncultured eukaryote
Lineage: Eukaryota
Description: partial 18S ribosomal RNA
Rfam family: Eukaryotic small subunit ribosomal RNA
Source: RNAcentral